Molecule: long non-coding RNA, 615 nt
Organism: Aphis gossypii (cotton aphid)
Lineage: Eukaryota; Metazoa; Arthropoda; Insecta; Hemiptera; Aphididae
Exons: 4
Source: RefSeq, a predicted model, not a curated record
UAUAUUCAGUUUACUUCAACAGAUUUACAAUCUAGACUUUUUUUUUUUAAUAAAAUUAAUUUAAUUUUGAAAAAAUGUCCUGCUACUCAUUUAAAAGCGAUGACGAGGAGUCGGUUGUAUUUUCCGAAGAUAAUAUUGCAACAACAUCUCAAAAAAAGGUACAUCGAAAAGGUUAGCUGUAAAACCGGAGAAGAAACCAGUAUCGAAAAAGACGAAAAAGAGCACUGCUAUUUGUUAUACAGACAAAAUAUUAGAUUUAAUAACAGAUCCAACUAUACCAACCGAUGCAGAGAACACCUUGAAUAUAAAAAAGGAUGAUUGUUCAUUAACGGUUAAGACACCUGUAGACAAUACGGCUGUAGAUUACUGGACUAUAGCACAUUAUAAAUGUGCUAAAAUUGAUAAAGUUGCUCUGCAAGAUAGAUGGAAGCAUGCUGAAUGCUCACUCAAAAUAUCUUUAACAGGACAGCAUCCGGAUGAUUUAACUACAGCCAAAGAAAUGGUGACGCUCAUUCAAUCUGUUUUCGACAAAAUGAUGCGACAUCCCGCCAAGAAGCUAAUCAGACACAAACCAAAAAAAAUAAACUUAUAAAAUGUAUGUAAUAGGAUAUGGUG